GUGUCAGCAGCCGCGGUAAGACAGGGGACCCGAGCGUUAAGCGGAAUCACUGGGCUUAAAGGGUGCGUAGGCGGUCCGCAAAGCGCUUUGUGAAAGCCCCCGGCUCAACCGGGGAACAGCAGGGCGAACUGGCGGACUCGAGGCAGGUAAGGGUUGAUGGAACAGUGGGUGGAGCGGUGAAAUGCGUAGAGAUCCACUGGAACGCCGAUGGUGAAGACGAUCAACUGGGCCUGACCUGACGCUGAAGCACGAAAGCGUGGGGAGCAAACAGGAUUAGAAACCCCCGUAGUCC
RNAcentral lists this ribosomal RNA (292 nucleotides) under uncultured bacterium. RNAcentral describes it as "partial 16S ribosomal RNA". It matches the Rfam family "Bacterial small subunit ribosomal RNA", at positions 505 to 796 of the family's 1533-position model. The record is from RNAcentral.